AGGAAGCAGAAAGCAAAAAUUUUUGAAAGGAACCCUAAGAAUCAUUCUUUUUGUCACUUCUAGAGCUUUUGGAAGAACCCCAUUGACAAUCAUGAAUGGAACGAAACGUUUCGGCGCAUCCGACUCGAUCCCCGACGCGAACGAGACUGCCAAUAUAUAAAUUUCUGUUCAGGUGACUUUGGCGCGAUAAUUUCGAUCAAGUUUGAACCUGUUUACUAAAUAUUCAGGAAUAAAAGAUUAAUGGCAGGAUCUACCUUUUAUGUACCCAGGGCUGAAUCGCCUCAGCGGUUGGCAGCAACAGCUCCGUUGGAUAUGCAACGGGCUAACUCAUCUUGGCAGCAUGUGAGAGCUCUCAAUACCCAGUUUGCAAGUUGGGUGCAAGAACAAAUGAGGAACCAUCCGGAUGAACUUUGGGAAGAUGGUGUCCGGGACUACCUAACUCAUGCCUCAAACAUUAUGGAGAAUUUCAGUGAUGUUGUCAAGUGGCUCAAAGCUAACACAGCGGAAGGAAAUAGCUUGUUCACUGUAGAAUCUCAAAAUAGUGAAAAUAAAGUGGUGUUUGAAACCAACAAUGGGGACAUAAAUUUAUCUCAAGAGAAAACUGGGUUUAUUCCAUCAGGCACCACUACAAGCUUUGCAACAUCAUGGAGUUCUGGAGUAUUCUCAAGUGGUCAAACCUCUGGGUUUACAUCAGUAAGCACAACAGUGCCUGUCUCAAGUUCCCUGAGCUCUGGAGUAUUUUCAAACAGUCAAAAUCCUGGAUCUACUCCAACAGGCACAGCUACAAACUUUGCAAAUUCAUUUAGUUCGAAAACAUUUUCAAACAGUCAAGCCCAUGGAUGUAAUCCAGCAGACACAACCACAACCUUUGCAACUUCAUCGAGCUCUCAAGUAUUUUCAAACAGUCAAACCCCUGGGUUUACACCAGCUGUUACAACUACAAGCUUUAUGAAUUCAUGGAGCUCUGGAGGAUUCCCAAACAUUCAAAAGCCUGUUUCAUUUGGUGGGAAUCAAAGUUCAGUCAGCAUUGCUCAAAGUUCCAUUCCAACUAACCGUGACGCUUCAGAUGACGUGGAUGGUGAAAAUGAAGUGGAGCAACCUAGCAGUCCAUCUGUUAAAAAGUCUGAAGAGAAGGGUAUAGUUGUAGUUCAUGAAGUCAAGUGCAAGCUUUAUGUGAAGUCAAGUGAUCCAGCAGAUAAAGAUGCAUGGAAAGAUAAAGGCCCGGGGAAGCUUUCCAUUAAAUGCAAAGAGGGUAUCGACAAGGGUACAAAAGAAUCUAAACCAACGAUUGUUGUUAGAAAUGAUGUUGGGAGACUGCUGCUUAAUGCAUUGAUAUAUCCUGGCAUCAAGACAAAUUUACAGAAGAACUCCCUUGUUGCAAUAUUCCAUACUUCGGGUGAUGGUGGUGAUGGAAAUAAUGGUAGUAACAACAAUAAUGUUGUGGCACGCACCUUCUUAAUUAGGACAAAAACAGAGGAAGAUCGAAAUAAGCUGGCCACAGCCAUUCAAGACUAUGCUCCACCAUCUUGAAAAUAACUAUAAGCAAUGGCUUAUUGUAUUACAUCGAGCUUCAAAGAUGUAACGAUGUUGCAGCUGGGGUUCAUGGCCAGAUGGAGUACGAAUUGCUGACAUGGUAUUUAUUGAGAGUUUGACCAAAUGGAGAGAACAUAAUAGCAAUGAAGAAAAGAAAGAUGAUGCUGAGGUUGAUACUCCAAUGAAGUACAACUGAUCUGUAUGAAGCGUCUUAGGUCACAAAGGUAGGAAAGAAAUGAAUGCCCAGAUGAAUUCAGUAGCUUUUGCUUAUAUAUAUUAAUAGGCAUCCUUAUUAAAUAGUCUUUAGGAUUAUAAAUACUAGAAUCAGGAUUUAAGCACUAGUACAUAAGAAUAUUUGCUCAUAAAUGAGAAAACUAAAGAAAAUUUCAAUCCUAAAUCCUAAAAACCAAUUCUUAAGAGGCAA
This is an RNA transcript of Carya illinoinensis, 1957 nucleotides long. RefSeq lists it as uncharacterized. Lineage: Eukaryota; Viridiplantae; Streptophyta; Magnoliopsida; Fagales; Juglandaceae. The record is from RefSeq and is a predicted model, not a curated record. The transcript has 11 exons.